RNAcentral lists this ribosomal RNA (494 nucleotides) under uncultured bacterium. RNAcentral describes it as "partial 16S ribosomal RNA". It matches the Rfam family "Bacterial small subunit ribosomal RNA", at positions 28 to 507 of the family's 1533-position model. The record is from RNAcentral.
GACGAACGCUGGCGGCGUGCUUGACACAUGCAAGUCGAACGGAAAGGCCUGCUUUCCCUUGUGGAUUGCGGGUACUCGAGUGGCGAACGGGUGAGUAACACGUGAGUGAUCUGCCCCCAACUUGGGUAUAAGCCUGGGAAACUGGGUCUAAUUCCCGAUAGGACUGCAGGGUGGUGCCUGUGGUGGAAAACGAUUUUCUAGUGGUUGGGGAUGAGCUCGCGGCCUAUCAGCUUGUUGGUGGGGUAAUGGCCUACCAAGGCGGCGACGGGUAGCCGGCCUGAGAGGGUGGACGGCCACAUUGGGACUGAGAUACGGCCCAGACUCCUACGGGAGGCAGCAGUGGGGAAUAUUGCACAAUGGGCGGAAGCCUGAGGCAGCGACGCCGCGUGGGGGAUGACGGCCUUCGGGUUGUAAACUCCUUUCGACCGCGAGGAAGCCACCUGGUUGGAAGGGUGGUGACGGUAGUGGUAGAAGAAGCACCGGCUAACUACGUG